Molecule: transfer RNA, 72 nt
Filed under: Penaeus vannamei (Pacific white shrimp)
Lineage: Eukaryota; Metazoa; Arthropoda; Malacostraca; Decapoda; Penaeidae
Description: Litopenaeus vannamei (Pacific white shrimp) tRNA
Rfam family: tRNA
About the family: Transfer RNA (tRNA) molecules are approximately 80 nucleotides in length. Their secondary structure includes four short double-helical elements and three loops (D, anti-codon, and T loops). Further hydrogen bonds mediate the characteristic L-shaped molecular structure. tRNAs have two regions of fundamental functional importance: the anti-codon, which is responsible for specific mRNA codon recognition, and the 3' end, to which the tRNAs corresponding amino acid is attached (by aminoacyl-tRNA synthetases). tRNAs cope with the degeneracy of the genetic code in two manners: having more than one tRNA (with a specific anti-codon) for a particular amino acid; and 'wobble' base-pairing, i.e. permitting non-standard base-pairing at the 3rd anti-codon position.
Source: Rfam by way of RNAcentral
GUCUCCGUGGUGUAGUGGAUAGCACACUCGCUUGUUACGCGAAAGGUUUGGGUUCGAUUCCCGUCGGAUACG